Transfer RNA from Ancylostoma ceylanicum, 73 nucleotides. It matches the Rfam family "tRNA". From Rfam's summary of the family: Transfer RNA (tRNA) molecules are approximately 80 nucleotides in length. Their secondary structure includes four short double-helical elements and three loops (D, anti-codon, and T loops). The record is from Rfam. Lineage: Eukaryota; Metazoa; Nematoda; Chromadorea; Rhabditida; Ancylostomatidae.
GCCCCAUUGGCUCAGAGGGCAGAGCGUCUGUCUUGUAAACAGAAGGUCGCUGGUUCGACUCCAGCAUGGGGCA